GCCUGGCUGGCUCAGUUUGGCAGAGCAUGUGACUCUUGAUCUCAGGGUUGUGAGUUCAAGCCCCAUGUUGAGUG
Molecule: transfer RNA, 74 nt
Filed under: Mustela putorius furo (domestic ferret)
Lineage: Eukaryota; Metazoa; Chordata; Mammalia; Carnivora; Mustelidae
Rfam family: tRNA
About the family: Transfer RNA (tRNA) molecules are approximately 80 nucleotides in length. Their secondary structure includes four short double-helical elements and three loops (D, anti-codon, and T loops).
Source: Rfam by way of RNAcentral